AUAGUUUGAUCCUGGCUCAGGAUGAACGCUGGCGGCGUGCUUAACACAUGCAAGUCGAACGAACCUUCGGGUUAGUGGCGGACGGGUGAGUAACGCGUGGGAAUCUGCCCUCAGGAGGGGGAUAACGGCUGGAAACGGCCGCUAAUACCCCAUAUGCCGAGAGGUGAAAGGAAAUUCGCCUGAGGAUGAGCCCGCGUCUGAUUAGCUAGUUGGUGGGGUAAGAGCUUACCAAGGCGACGAUCAGUAGCUGGUCUGAGAGGAUGAUCAGCCACACUGGGACUGAGACACGGCCCAGACUCCUACGGGAGGCAGCAGUGGGGAAUUUUCCGCAAUGGGCGAAAGCCUGACGGAGCAACGCCGCGUGAGGGAUGAAGGCCUCUGGGCUGUAAACCUCUUUUCUCAAGGAAGAAGAUAUGACGGUACUUGAGGAAUAAGCCACGGCUAAUUCCGUGCCAGCAGCCCGGUAAUACGGGAGUGGCAAGCGUUAUCCGGGAUUAUUGGGCGUAAAGCGUCCGCAGGCGGCCCUGUAAGUCUGUCGUUAAAGCGUGGAGCUUAACUCCAUUUAAGCGAUGGAAACUACAGGGCUUGAGUGUGGUAGGGGCAGAGGGAAUUCCCGGUGUAGCGGUGAAAUGCGUAGAUAUCGGGAAGAACACCAGUGGCGAAGGCGCUCUGCUGGGCCAUAACUGACGCUCAUGGACGAAAGCCAGGGGAGCGAAAGGGAUUAGAUACCCCUGUAGUCCUGGCCGUAAACGAUGAACACUAGGUGUCGGGGGAAUCGACCCCCUCGGUGUCGUAGCCAACGCGUUAAGUGUUCCGCCUGGGGAGUACGCACGCAAGUGUGAAACUCAAAGGAAUUGACGGGGGCCCGCACAAGCGGUGGAGUAUGUGGUUUAAUUCGAUGCAACGCGAAGAACCUUACCAGGGUUUGGCAUCCUGCGAAUCCCUUGGAAACGAGGGAGUGCCUUCGGGAGCGCAGAGACAGGUGGUGCAUGGCUGUCGUCAGCUCGUGUCGUGAGAUGUUGGGUUAAGUCCCGCAACGAGCGCAACCCACGUCUUUAGUUGCCAGCAUUCAGUUGGGCACUCUAGAGAGACCGCCGGUGAUAAACCGGAGGAAGGUGUGGAUGACGUCAAGUCAUCAUGCCCCUUACAUCCUGGGCUACACACGUACUACAAUGCUACGGACAAAGGGCAGCAAGCUCGCGAGAGUUAGCAAAUCCCAUAAACCGUGGCUCAGUUCAGAUCGUAGGCUGCAACUCGCCUACGUGAAGGAGGAAUCGCUAGUAAUCGCAGGUCAGCAUACUGCGGUGAAUACGUUCCCGGGCCUUGUACACACCGCCCGUCACACCAUGGAAGUUGGCCAUGCCCGAAGUCGUUACUCCAACCC
This 1384-nucleotide ribosomal RNA is filed under the name metagenome. RNAcentral's name for it is "bacterial SSU rRNA". It matches the Rfam family "Bacterial small subunit ribosomal RNA". The record is from RNAcentral.